CCUACGGGAGGCAGCAGUAGGGAAUCUUUCACAAUGGGCGAAAGCCUGAUGGAGCAACGCCGCGUGCAGGAUGAAGGCCUUCGGGUUGUAAACUGCUUUUAUAAGCGAGAAAUAUGAUGGUAACUUAUGAAUAAGGAUCGGCUAACUACGUGCCAGCAGCCGCGGUCAUACGUAGGAUCCGAGCCUUAUCCGGGGUGACUGGGUGUAAAGAGUUGCGUAGGUUGGAUACUAAGUAGCUAGUGAAAUCUGGUGGCUCAACCAUUCAGACUAUUAGCUAAACUGGUAAGCUCGAGACUGUUAGAGGUAAGUGGAAUUGCUAGUGUAGGAGUGAAAUCCGUAGAUAUUAGAAGGAACACCAAUAGCGUAGGCAGGUUGCUGGGACGGUUCUGACACUAAGGCACGAAAGCGUAGGGAGCAAACGGGAUUAGAUACCCGUGUAGUC
RNAcentral lists this ribosomal RNA (442 nucleotides) under uncultured bacterium. Its description in RNAcentral is "partial 16S ribosomal RNA". It matches the Rfam family "Bacterial small subunit ribosomal RNA", at positions 338 to 795 of the family's 1533-position model. The record is from RNAcentral.